GGUGGAUUGAUUGAAUUUGCGUAGGCGGAAGUCCAGCGCAGGCGCAGCAAUGCGGCUGAGAGAAAAGAGUAGUUAUUUUGAGAUCGCUUUCUCUCUCUCCUCCUGUUUAGCUUUUGCACAGUGGAAGCGCUCCGUGGAGAGGCGAGGAGAGCAGUGAUCGUGAGAUUUCUACUCAGCUGACGAUCUGAGCCGUGAGAUGCGUGGACUUUUUGCGGUUUGACCAGAGGUUUUUGAACAGAUUACAGGAGAAGAAGGAUUGGAA
Molecule: long non-coding RNA, 262 nt
Organism: Ipomoea triloba (trilobed morning glory)
Lineage: Eukaryota; Viridiplantae; Streptophyta; Magnoliopsida; Solanales; Convolvulaceae
Exons: 2
Source: RefSeq, a predicted model, not a curated record